This 801-nucleotide ribosomal RNA is filed under the name Gloniopsis leucaenae. Its description in RNAcentral is "SSU rRNA". It matches the Rfam family "Eukaryotic small subunit ribosomal RNA", at positions 298 to 1103 of the family's 1831-position model. Lineage: Eukaryota; Fungi; Ascomycota; Dothideomycetes; Hysteriales; Hysteriaceae. The record is from RNAcentral.
UUCAAAUUUCUGCCCUAUCAACUUUCGAUUGUAGGGUAUUGGCCUACAAUGGUAUCAACGGGUAACGGGGAAUUAGGGUUCGAUUCCGGAGAGGGAGCCUGAGAAACGGCUACCACAUCCAAGGAAGGCAGCAGGCGCGCAAAUUACCCAAUCCCGACACGGGGAGGUAGUGACAAUAAAUACUGAUACAGGGCUCUUUUGGGUCUUGUAAUUGGAAUGAGUACAAUUUAAAUCCCUUAACGAGGAACAAUUGGAGGGCAAGUCUGGUGCCAGCAGCCGCGGUAAUUCCAGCUCCAAUAGCGUAUAUUAAAGUUGUUGCAGUUAAAAAGCUCGUAGUUGAACCUUGGGCCUGGCUGGCCGGUCCGCCUCACCGCGUGCACUGGUCCGGCCGGGCCUUUCCUUCUGGAGAACCGCAUGCCCUUCACUGGGUGUGUCGGGGAACCAGGACUUUUACUGUGAAAAAAUUAGAGUGUUCAAAGCAGGCCUUUGCUCGAAUACAUUAGCAUGGAAUAAUAGAAUAGGACGUGCGGUCCUAUUUUGUUGGUUUCUAGGACCGCCGUAAUGAUUAAUAGGGAUAGUCGGGGGCAUCAGUAUUCAAUUGUCAGAGGUGAAAUUCUUGGAUUUAUUGAAGACUAACUACUGCGAAAGCAUUUGCCAAGGAUGUUUUCAUUAAUCAGUGAACGAAAGUCAGGGGAUCGAAGACGAUCAGAUACCGUCGUAGUCUUGACCGUAAACUAUGCCGACUAGGGAUCGGGCGAUGUUAUUAUUUUGACUCGCUCGGCACCUUACGAGAAAUCAAAG